CAGCCGCCACGGGAAAACGUAGGGUCCGAGCGUUGUCCGGAAUUAUUGGGCGUAAAGGGCUCGUAGGCGGUUUGUUGCGUCGGGAGUGAAAACCCAGGGCUUAACUUUGGGCUUGCUUUCGAUACGGGCAGACUUGAGGCAUUGAGGGGAGAACGGAAUUCCUGGUGUAGCGGUGAAAUGCGCAGAUAUCAGGAGGAACACCGGUGGCGAAGGCGGUUCUCUGGCAAUGUUCUGACGCUGAGGUGCGAAAGCGUGGGGAGCAAACAGGAUUAGAUACCCGCGUAGUCCCUGUCUCUUAUAC
Molecule: ribosomal RNA, 301 nt
Filed under: uncultured bacterium
Lineage: Bacteria
Description: partial 16S ribosomal RNA
Rfam family: Bacterial small subunit ribosomal RNA
Source: RNAcentral